AGCCCUUCGGGGUGGAUUAGUGGCGAACGGGUGAGUAACACGUGGGCAAUCUGCCCUUCACUCUGGGACAAGCCCUGGAAACGGGGUCUAAUACCGGAUAACACUCUGUCCCGCAUGGGACGGGGUUAAAAGCUCCGGCGGUGAAGGAUGAGCCCGCGGCCUAUCAGCUUGUUGGUGGGGUGAUGGCCUACCAAGGCGACGACGGGUAGCCGGCCUGAGAGGGCGACCGGCCACACUGGGACUGAGACACGGCCCAGACUCCUACGGGAGGCAGCAGUGGGGAAUAUUGCACAAUGGGCGAAAGCCUGAUGCAGCGACGCCGCGUGAGGGAUGACGGCCUUCGGGUUGUAAACCUCUUUCAUCAGGGAAGAAGCGAAAGUGACGGUACCUGCAGAAGAAGCGCCGGCUAACUACAUGCCAACAGCCGCGGUAAUACGUACGGCGCAAGCGUUGUCCGGAAUUAUUGGGCGUAAAGAGCUCGUAUGCGGCUUGUCACGUCGGAUGUGAAAGCCCGGGGCUUAACCCCGGGUCUGCAUUCGAUACGGGCUAG
RNAcentral lists this ribosomal RNA (550 nucleotides) under Streptomyces flavovirens. RNAcentral describes it as "bacterial SSU rRNA". It matches the Rfam family "Bacterial small subunit ribosomal RNA", at positions 74 to 640 of the family's 1533-position model. The record is from RNAcentral. Lineage: Bacteria; Bacillati; Actinomycetota; Actinomycetes; Kitasatosporales; Streptomycetaceae.